This 362-nucleotide small RNA is filed under the name Histoplasma ohiense. RNAcentral's name for it is "hypothetical lncRNA". The record is from RNAcentral. Lineage: Eukaryota; Fungi; Ascomycota; Eurotiomycetes; Onygenales; Ajellomycetaceae.
UGGGGAAACGUUAGACACUGGUAGCACGAUCUAUGGAGAUGGAGAUAGAUAGUAUGUACUGUACAUAUUCGGGUCUUGUUCGAGGCUCUAAUUUUAUCUUGAUCAAAUUGUUCUGCCACACUUAGGUGUUUGGGAGAUGCUGCUGCUCAUUCUCUAAUUAUUCAGGGCCCAGACAGCCCAUGUGCUCAAUAUAUGUGCUGUUUGUUUCAACAGAGCACAUCCUGGCCAUCGAAGGUAGACAUAACUCCUGUUGGAUGCUACAUACGAGCUGUGAACAAGAGAGGUUUGCCGUGCGUUUUCCGUGACUGCUGGGAUGUUCUAUGCAGUAGUCAGUUUAUAUAUAUGGUUUACAAAGUUUUAAG